UGCUGUCAAUCCUCAGCCGGGCC
This 23-nucleotide non-coding RNA is filed under the name Rattus norvegicus (Norway rat). Lineage: Eukaryota; Metazoa; Chordata; Mammalia; Rodentia; Muridae. The record is from RNAcentral.